UGGGGUAUAUUGGACAAUGGGCGCAAGCCUGAUCCAGCCAUGCCGCGUGCGGGAAGAAGGCCUUCGGGUUGUAAACCGCUUUUGUCAGGGAAGAAAUCUCCUGAGCUAAUACCUCGGGGGGAUGACGGUACCUGAAGAAUAAGCACCGGCUAACUACGUGCCAGCAGCCGCGGUAAUACGUAGGGUGCAAGCGUUAAUCGGAAUUACUGGGCGUAAAGCGUGCGCAGGCGGUUAUGCAAGACAGAUGUGAAAUCCCCGGGCUUAACCUGGGAACUGCAUUUGUGACUGCAUAGCUAGAGUACGGUAGAGGGGGAUGGAAUUCCGCGUGUAGCAGUGAAAUGCGUAGAUAUGCGGAGGAACACCGAUGGCGAAGGCAAUCCCCUGGACCUGUACUGACGCUCAUGCACGAAAGCGUGGGGAGCAAA
Molecule: ribosomal RNA, 425 nt
Filed under: uncultured bacterium
Lineage: Bacteria
Description: bacterial SSU rRNA
Rfam family: Bacterial small subunit ribosomal RNA
Source: RNAcentral